RNAcentral lists this transfer RNA (74 nucleotides) under Gracilaria rangiferina. Its description in RNAcentral is "Hydropuntia rangiferina tRNA-Val". It matches the Rfam family "tRNA". From Rfam's summary of the family: Transfer RNA (tRNA) molecules are approximately 80 nucleotides in length. Lineage: Eukaryota; Rhodophyta; Florideophyceae; Gracilariales; Gracilariaceae. The record is from RNAcentral.
GGAUACAUAGCUCAGUUGGUUAGAGCAUCACGUUGACAUCGUGGAAGUCACUGGUUCGAUUCCAGUUGUGUCCA